RNAcentral lists this ribosomal RNA (612 nucleotides) under Salmonella enterica. RNAcentral's name for it is "partial 23S ribosomal RNA". It matches the Rfam family "Bacterial large subunit ribosomal RNA", at positions 2261 to 2867 of the family's 2925-position model. The record is from RNAcentral. Lineage: Bacteria; Pseudomonadati; Pseudomonadota; Gammaproteobacteria; Enterobacterales; Enterobacteriaceae. RNAcentral also lists the same sequence under 1 other name.
GUGGGUAGUUUGACUGGGGCGGUCUCCUCCUAAAGAGUAACGGAGGAGCACGAAGGUUGGCUAAUCCUGGUCGGACAUCAGGAGGUUAGUGCAAUGGCAUAAGCCAGCUUGACUGCGAGCGUGACGGCGCGAGCAGGUGCGAAAGCAGGUCAUAGUGAUCCGGUGGUUCUGAAUGGAAGGGCCAUCGCUCAACGGAUAAAAGGUACUCCGGGGAUAACAGGCUGAUACCGCCCAAGAGUUCAUAUCGACGGCGGUGUUUGGCACCUCGAUGUCGGCUCAUCACAUCCUGGGGCUGAAGUAGGUCCCAAGGGUAUGGCUGUUCGCCAUUUAAAGUGGUACGCGAGCUGGGUUUAGAACGUCGUGAGACAGUUCGGUCCCUAUCUGCCGUGGGCGCUGGAGAACUGAGGGGGGCUGCUCCUAGUACGAGAGGACCGGAGUGGACGCAUCACUGGUGUUCGGGUUGUCAUGCCAAUGGCACUGCCCGGUAGCUAAAUGCGGAAGAGAUAAGUGCUGAAAGCAUCUAAGCACGAAACUUGCCCCGAGAUGAGUUCUCCCUGAGACUUAAAGUCUCCUGAAGGAACGUUGAAGACGACGACGUUGAUAGGCCGGGUG